Molecule: ribosomal RNA, 190 nt
Filed under: uncultured Flavobacterium sp.
Lineage: Bacteria; Pseudomonadati; Bacteroidota; Flavobacteriia; Flavobacteriales; Flavobacteriaceae
Description: partial 16S ribosomal RNA
Rfam family: Bacterial small subunit ribosomal RNA
Source: RNAcentral
UCUACGGGAGGCAGCAGUGAGGAGUAUUGGUCAAUGGGCGCAAGCCUGAACCAGCCAUGCCGCGUGCAGGAUGACGGUCCUAUGGAUUGUAAACUGCUUUUGUACGGGAAGAAACACCAAUUCGUGAAUUGGCUUGACGGUACCGUAAGAAUAAGGAUCGGCUAACUCCGUGCCAGCAGCCGCGGUAAUA